Molecule: long non-coding RNA, 374 nt
Organism: Rhipicephalus microplus (southern cattle tick)
Lineage: Eukaryota; Metazoa; Arthropoda; Arachnida; Ixodida; Ixodidae
Source: RefSeq, a predicted model, not a curated record
ACAGCAGCACUUCGCUUUUCAUGGAUUUACCGCAGCCUGUUCACAACUCCGUUGUCAGAGGUGAAAAAGAGAACAAACGCAGAUACCACAACAAAGGGGACGUCGGCUUCAUGUAUCACUUCCCAUCGAGAUCGUGGGAAGCAACUCGGCGGCAGAAGUGGAUCAUCGCUGUUCGGCGCGUCAACGCCGGUGACCUAUCAUCUUGGAAGCCUAACGAGAAUACCGGGAUAUGAUAGAGGUAUUUCGAGAACAGCGAAAAAGCACCAUCCAGAAUCAUCCUGGUUACCUUCCGAAGAGGUGGUCGACAGCUCCUGCUCAACAGCUUUCGAGGUUUUCGAGUAAUAAAACUACAAGUGACAGCUGAUCGAGAAACG